This 486-nucleotide ribosomal RNA is filed under the name uncultured bacterium. RNAcentral's name for it is "partial 16S ribosomal RNA". It matches the Rfam family "Bacterial small subunit ribosomal RNA", at positions 28 to 507 of the family's 1533-position model. The record is from RNAcentral.
GACGAACGCUGGCGGCGUGCUUAACACAUGCAAGUCGAACGCUGAAGACCUGGCUUUUGUUGGGUUGGUUGAGUGGCGAACGGGUGAGUAACACGUGAGUAACCUGCCCUCUUCUUUGGGAUAACGCCCGGAAACGGGUGCUAAUACUGGAUAUUCACUGAUCUUCGCAUGGGGGUUGGUGGAAAGGUUUGUUCUGGUGGGGGAUGGGCUCGCGGCCUAUCAGCUUGUUGGUGGGGUGAUGGCCUACCAAGGCUUUGACGGGUAGCCGGCGUGAGAGGGUGACCGGUCACAUUGGGACUGAGACACGGCCCAGACUAAUACGCGAGGCAGCAGUGGGGGAUAUUGAACAAUGGGCGAAAGCCGGAUGCAGCGACGCAGCGUGAGGGAUGGAGGCCUUCGGGUUGGAAACCUCUUUCGCUCAUGGUCAAGCCGCAACUGUGGGUUGUGGUGAGGGUAGUGGGUAAAGAAGCGACGGCUAACUACGUG